GAAAUUCGAAAAUAAAUCAAUACGACACACGUCAUAAUCCAUAUUGGAUUCUCGAAUUUAUUAAAGAAAAAUGCAAUCAAAGAAUUAGAGAAAGAUCUACAAAAGAAAAUUAACUCUGUAAAUCAGAAACGUAAUAUUGCUAUCAAAAAAGUUAAAGAACCUUAUAGACAGCCUAACAUUCCUGCAGAAUAUAUAGCUUUCCAAUUAAAAAAUAGAGUUUCAUAUUACAAAUUAACUAAAAAAGUGAUUGAAUUAACUAAAAAUAACAAAUAUAAGGGAGUCAAUGUAACAAUUCCGGGCCGUCUAGGAGGAAAUGAAAUUGCACAUGUCGAAUCCAUUUAA
Molecule: ribosomal RNA, 342 nt
Filed under: Triticum aestivum (bread wheat)
Lineage: Eukaryota; Viridiplantae; Streptophyta; Magnoliopsida; Poales; Poaceae
Description: partial small subunit ribosomal RNA
Source: RNAcentral